AUUAACGCUGGCAGAGUGCAUAACACAUGCAAGUCGAGCGAGGGUGGCAGCGUAUCGCGCCCUAGCGGCAGACGAGUGAGUAACACGUAAGCAACCUGCCCUUGAAUGGUGAACAACCAGCCGAAAGGUUGGCUAAUACGCCGUAUAAUCCUCUGGAGGCAUCUUCUAGGGAUGAUAGGCCCGCAAGGGCCGUUCAAGGAGGGGCUUGCGUUCCAUCAGCUUGUUGGCGGUGUAACGGACCACCAAGGCUAUGACGGGUACCCGGCCUGAAAGGGGGGACGGGCACGAAGGCACUGAGACACGGGCCUUACUCCUACGGGAGGCAGCAGUGGGGAAUUUUGGACAAUGGGGGAAACCCUGAUCCAGCAACUCUGCGUGAGGGACGAAGUUCUUCGGAAUGUAAACCUCUUUUAUUGGGGACGAAGGCCCGCAAGGGCUUGACGGUACCCAGUGAAUAAGCCACGGCUAACUAUGU
Molecule: ribosomal RNA, 475 nt
Filed under: uncultured bacterium
Lineage: Bacteria
Description: bacterial SSU rRNA
Rfam family: Bacterial small subunit ribosomal RNA
Source: RNAcentral